GAUCCUGGCUCAGGACGAACGCUGGCGGCGCGCCUAACACAUGCAAGUCGAACGAGUGAGAGAGAGCUUGCUUUCUCGAGCGAGUGGCGAACGGGUGAGUAACGCGUGAGGAACCUGCCUCAAAGAGGGGGACAACAGUUGGAAACGACUGCUAAUACCGCAUAAGCCCACGACCCGGCAUCGGGAAGAGGGAAAAGGAGCAAUCCGCUUUGAGAUGGCCUCGCGUCCGAUUAGCUAGUUGGUG
This 244-nucleotide ribosomal RNA is filed under the name uncultured bacterium. RNAcentral describes it as "partial 16S ribosomal RNA". It matches the Rfam family "Bacterial small subunit ribosomal RNA", at positions 15 to 254 of the family's 1533-position model. The record is from RNAcentral.